Pieris rapae (cabbage white) is the source of this 397-nucleotide long non-coding RNA. RefSeq lists it as uncharacterized. The transcript has 3 exons. The record is from RefSeq and is a predicted model, not a curated record. NCBI's taxonomy places the organism in Eukaryota, Metazoa, Arthropoda, Insecta, Lepidoptera, Pieridae.
AUGGCGCAUGGGAAGUAGCCGUAGAGACCGGAAGUACGAGCGUGGGUGGUGUCGCAGCAUUACGAUGUCGUGUUUCCGGUGCACCAGCACGUGUGGCGCUCUGGUACCGCGCUGACACACUGUUGGCAGUCGAUUCGCCGUCACCCGAUUCCCGAUACCUGUCUGCGGGUGAUACUCUGUUGAUUCGUGAUGUGUCAGCGUCGGAUGCAGGCGCAUACAGCUGUGUUGCGCGACAUGAGCUUACCUCUCUCACCCGUCGCUCACGUCCCGCGCCCCUUGAAGUCAUGCCAAGUUCUGCAGUUGCUGGCAGUGCGCCCCGUGUGACAGCAGCGAGUGAACUUUCUGUCCCACCUGGUGCGCCAUUUUGUCUUCCAUGCGCUGCCUCUCAGUACCCACC